GAUGAACGCUGGCGGUAUGCUUAACACAUGCAAGUCGAACGGUGUCUUCGGACACAGUGGCGGACGGGUGAGUAACGCGUGAGAAUCUGGCUUCAGGUCUGGGACAACCACUGGAAACGGUGGCUAAUACCGGAUGUGCCGAGAGGUGAAAGGUUAACUGCCUGAAGAUGAGCUCGCGUCUGAUUAGCUAGUAGGUGUGGUAAAGGCGCACCUAGGCGACGAUCAGUAGCUGGUCUGAGAGGACGAUCAGCCACACUGGGACUGAGACACGGCCCAGACUCCUACGGGAGGCAGCAGUGGGGAAUUUUCCGCAAUGGGCGAAAGCCUGACGGAGCAAUACCGCGUGAGGGAGGAAGGCUCUUGGGUCGUAAACCUCUUUUCUCAGGGAAGAACACAAUGACGGUACCUGAGGAAUAAGCAUCGGCUAACUCCGUGCCAGCAGCCGCGGUAAUACGGAGGAUGCAAGCGUUAUCCGGAAUGAUUGGGCGUAAAGCGUCCGCAGGUGGCGAUGUAAGUCUGCUGUUAAAGAGUCUAGCUCAACUAGAUAAGAGCAGUGGAAACUACAUAGCUAGAGUACGUUCGGGGCAGAGGGAAUUCCUGGUGUAGCGGUGAAAUGCGUAGAGAUCAGGAAGAACACCAGUGGCGAAGGCGCUCUGCUAGGCCGUAACUGACACUGAGGGACGAAAGCUAGGGGAGCGAAUGGGAUUAGAUACCCCAGUAGUCCUAGCCGUAAACGAUGGAUACUAGGCGUGGC
This 754-nucleotide ribosomal RNA is filed under the name uncultured cyanobacterium. RNAcentral's name for it is "bacterial SSU rRNA". It matches the Rfam family "Bacterial small subunit ribosomal RNA", at positions 28 to 826 of the family's 1533-position model. Lineage: Bacteria; Bacillati; Cyanobacteriota. The record is from RNAcentral.